RNAcentral lists this long non-coding RNA (1385 nucleotides) under Junco hyemalis (dark-eyed junco). RNAcentral describes it as "lncRNA (ENSJHYG00000000856.1)". The record is from RNAcentral. Lineage: Eukaryota; Metazoa; Chordata; Aves; Passeriformes; Passerellidae.
CAUGGCAGGUCCAGUGAUCUGACUGUUCUGGGAGGUAUGUUCACUGCUGAGCUGAUGAACCAAACUGUUUGGCCAACCUUGCCUCAAAAACCUGUUUGGUGCACAGAUGUCAGUUUGAGACUACUCUGGUUUUCUCCAGAUGGACACAUCUGAGGUGUCCACCUGCUCACAUCAUCAUCACACAACAAAAUAAGGAUGAACAGGAGGGCACAGUGAGGCAGAUGGAGAAGGCUGCACAGUGUCAGAGUGAAUGGAAAGCAGAAUGGAAAUGGAAAGCAAUGGAAAGCAGAAAGAGGGGAGGAAGAGCUCUCCCUUACAGGCAGCUGAGGAACAUGGGGACACAGCCACGGGAAAUCCACAGCACACAGGGAUGAAGGCAUCAGGAACAACUUGUGUGAGCUCCUCUAAUUCACAGCAACAGUUUAAACAGACAGGCUGUGACUUGCUUCCCUCUAAGUGCUUCUCCAUCACAGCAGUGUAAUGAAGACCCAACCCUGUCUGGUCCUCCCACUAAAAUGAAGCAACUCUAUAAGGUUUUUCAGAUUAUCUUCUUUCACCUUGUGCUCCUUCAGAUGUUUCCUGCACUGAAGAGGCUGAGAAAGGUAAGUAGAAAACUCAUUUUGAUUUAACAGAACAGAGGCAAAGUGGAAAAUCUUGUUCAGUUCUUUCCUCUAGAACAUGCAAUGCUUGACAAGGUCAGGUUCUCACUGUACCACACAGGAUGGCUAAUUUUGCAGCAUUGGAAUAUUUAUAGCCAGAAAGAGAAAAGUAGCAGGAAUAGGAAUAACAAAACCAGAAGACCAGACAUGUCUGGUCACCUGUGGUGGUUAUCUAAGCAAAAAGGGCUGUGAAUUCUAUUCACUCCUGUUUGUUGGAUCCUUCCUCUCACCCAAUUGACUGUGCUCAGUUCCCAGUAGCUCUCCUCAGUUGCCACCUAUAACCAGGAACCUGGGCUGUAGCUAUUUCUGUUCCUGACAGGAACAAAGAACUACUGCAAGCUCUUUUCCUCUCAAAAGGAUACCCUAAAUGCAAAGAUGCAGCAGCACAAAACAUGGCUUGCUUAUCAAUCCUAAUGGAGGCACAAACAGUCAAAGAAUGUAGAGCCUUUCCCCACUCUGCAGGCAGCACUGUGCUCAGCCAGGCUGAGAUGGGCUUUGGGGCAUCACUCCUAUAUUUUACAUCAAUCACCUCAAUGCAAAUAGGUUUGUUUGCAGACCCUCCACUACAUUAAACUUCAUUUUACCUCUGCCACAAGGACAGAUUGUUCAGCAUCUGCCUUACCUUCUAAGGCACUAUUAAUAAUAUGAGAGUACAUCUCAGUGACAGUCACCAGCAUUAAGUCUGCUCUGAAAUGCCAUUCGUUUAAAUAUGCAGAUAAAUCUUAC